RNAcentral lists this ribosomal RNA (253 nucleotides) under uncultured bacterium. Its description in RNAcentral is "partial 16S ribosomal RNA". It matches the Rfam family "Bacterial small subunit ribosomal RNA", at positions 524 to 776 of the family's 1533-position model. The record is from RNAcentral.
UACAGAGGUCCCAAGCGUUGUUCGGAUUCACUGGGCGUAAAGGGUGCGUAGGUGGCCAGGUAAGUUUGGUGUGAAAGCUCGGAGCUUAACUCCGAAAAGUCAUUGAAUACUAUCUGGCUGGAGGGUCGGAGGGGAGACUGGAAUUCUCGGUGUAGCAGUGAAAUGCGUAGAUAUCGAGAGGAACACCAGUGGCGAAGGCGAGUCUCUGGAAAACUCCUGACACUGAGGCACGAAAGCUAGGGGAGCAAACAGG